RNAcentral lists this long non-coding RNA (2036 nucleotides) under Homo sapiens (human). RNAcentral describes it as "non-protein coding lnc-BICDL1-1:3". The record is from RNAcentral. Lineage: Eukaryota; Metazoa; Chordata; Mammalia; Primates; Hominidae.
GUCGCGCACGCGCCCUGACGGAGUCCCAGCAAGCGCGGGCCCGUCUUCCUCGCGUCUCCUCGGGGAGCGUCGUCGCCGCCACCCUGGGCGCUGAGAGCUUGCGGAGCCGAGCCGCUGUCGAGUCCCAGCGGAAAGAAGCCCAAGGUGCCGGAGAAGCCCGGUCGUGGACGUUGUUGCUCCCUCAUCUUCGAGACCCGCACGCCCUGCGGAGAGGAAAUGACAGGCACGCCGCGACCGUGGGGCGGGGCUCGCACGAGCUCCGGGUUUCCAGAGGCAGGGGCCGGGGCCGUAGAAGGCAGAGUCGCGCGGGGAAGGCCCGGUACCCCGCCCCUUCCGCACCGACCCCUCCCCCGCGGAGCUGGCCCCGGCCCCGGGCCUGUGGAGUGGACGCCGAGGGCGGCGGGCGGCUUCCGAGUUGGACAGAACGGGAGCUGCCGGCGGGAGCAGAGCUGCGAGGAGGUGGCCUUUGAGGGCAGCGCGGGGUCGAAAUCCCAUCCCAGCGCUGUGACCUCUUGGAGCCCACAUUGCCUCUUUGGUGGAGGGGAGGGAGUGGUCCAGCUCCGAGCCGAGCCUGGGAGCUGAAUGACCCAGUGUGCAAGGCGCACCUCGGAGACCGAAAGCAACCGCUCCCCCGGCUUCAAUUUCACACCACCUGCAGAUACACGUCUCAGAAUCUGCGGCUAGGAAGACCUGGGCCGCCAGAAGCUAAACGUGUGCAUUUUGUCAUCAGCCCCGGUUUCUCGUUUUAGAGUGAGUUCCCACCUGCCCUACCUAAACUGACCUGAAACGGAAAGUUGUAUGCCCCCACGACCAUCCUCACUGCAGAACUGCAGAGGGUUUUAAGCUCCUUAUUACCUGUUUCUUAUAAUCCUGUCCCUUUCCAGGCGAGUAUUUAUCGGAUAGUUCUACUUGUUUUAUCAAACUUCCUUUUCUUUUGACUUUAUAAAAAGCAAUGCCGGGAGGCUGAGGCGGGAGAAUCGCUUGAACCCGGGAGGCGGAGGUUGCAGUGAGCUGAGAUCUCGCCAUUGCACUCCAUUCUGGGCAACAAGAGCGAAACUCCGUCUCAAAAAAAAAAAACAAUGUUCGUCCUUAAAAUUAUGUGCAGAAGUUUACUGAAAAGUACAAGUUACUAUUUUUCCUUCUGAAGCACUCCUCACAGGUAACCCCUGUUAGUUUCACAGGUAACCUUAAAAUGCUUAACACAUAUUUGUUGAAUGAAUAAGUGCCCCCCAGUGAAUUUCCUUUGCCUGUACAAACAUAUAUGUACAUACCUUGCUUUUUCUAUUUAACAGUACACUUUUAUCAUUUAACAUCUGCGUGGUAUGGUACUCCAUCCGAUAACCAUCGGAUGUACUAUUAUUUAACCACUCCGCUAUUAAUAGACAUUCAUGCUGUUUAUAUUUUUUGGUUAUAAUAAACAUUGUUGCAGGCGGGAUCAUUGAACAACACAUGGAGUGUCUGACUCAAGCCUUGAGUUGUUUUUCCGGGAGCUGAGAAUCAGUGUGGUGAUAUCGAAAUAACAUGAGCUUGGAAUCUGAAGGUACUGGCUAGGGAGAAGAGCUGCUCAUGUGCUCCCGAUAGAAAGUCCCCCUUGGUCGGGAAGGUUAGGGCCAUCCUCUGACUCAGCAGUUUUAGGAAAUAGAGGGGGAGAAGGAAGGUAUGUACCUUCCUUCCACCAGGGAGGCACGCCCAGCCCUAACCAGCCAGCGAGGCAGUAGGUCCUCCUAGCUCAUCUUCACAACCUGGGCUGGUGUCGGGAAGACUUUCGUUCCAAUGCUAGCUUUGGAAUCCUGGCCUCCAUCCCUUAAAAGCUUUGUGAUCUUAGGUAAGUCACAUCACACUAUCUCAAAGCCCCCGUUUCCUCACAGAAUGGUUGUUUUAGAGUUAUGUUUGUAAAUUACCUGGCACAUGUAGGCAUGUGACAGACUGUAACCAAUGUUACUCAAGGUCAUUUUGCACUGAUUCAUACUUUGAGCCAUUUCCUACUGUAGACUCUAGCACACAUUUUCAAGGCAGCUUCCUGAUAAUAAGGCUGU